AGUAUAUUUCAAUUGUAUAUCAAUAAAGUUGAUGAAAAGUAAACAGAUUAGAAACUCAAUUUACCUCUUCAUUGACUUUAGGCUCUUUUGGUCCUCCUCUUCCUGGAGAAAAUACAUGAAUGCCUUUGACUUUUGGAAUGGGAGCAGAGUUUUGAACUACAAAGAAAAACCUAAGUUCGUAUCUUCAAAUUUUGCACCCUUUAUUCUGAUGAAAGAUAGAGGUAAUAUGAGGAGAGACCCCUUUCCAAAGUCCCCUGGACACAUGCUUAUUUCCAAUGAGGAUUCAACAAUUCACAAGCAACCAGGUGAAAAGCUGACCCCUUGGAGAAGAACUGGCCUGUUGGAGGACAGUGAGCUAAAGAGAGAGGUCCUGGGCAAGAGUGACUCUGUGAAGGAGCAAAGCCAAGAAGAUGAACUGCAGCCCCUCAAUUUCACUGGCACCAGCUCAUCCUAUCUUAGAGGCUUGAAGAGCCACACCCAAGCUGAAAGCUCAAAAUUGUGCUCAUUGGACUCAAAGGGAGACUAAUUUGAAGUUGGCUCAAAUUUCUAAUGGGAGUCUUUGUAAGCACCUUUAGCCUCAAGAGACCAGAUGCUUAUUGGAGAUUCUUUCUUCAAGUGCACACAUUAAAUCCAGAAAUAAAUUAUAAAAUUUC
RNAcentral lists this long non-coding RNA (653 nucleotides) under Vulpes vulpes (red fox). Its description in RNAcentral is "lncRNA (ENSVVUG00000000573.1)". Lineage: Eukaryota; Metazoa; Chordata; Mammalia; Carnivora; Canidae. The record is from RNAcentral.